UCCGCGAUAGCUCAGUUGGUAGAGCGUUCGACUGUUAAUCGAAUGGUCGCAGGUUCGAGUCCUGCUCGCGGAG
Molecule: transfer RNA, 73 nt
Organism: Polymorphum gilvum SL003B-26A1
Lineage: Bacteria; Pseudomonadati; Pseudomonadota; Alphaproteobacteria; Rhodobacterales; Paracoccaceae
Rfam family: tRNA
About the family: Transfer RNA (tRNA) molecules are approximately 80 nucleotides in length. Their secondary structure includes four short double-helical elements and three loops (D, anti-codon, and T loops). Further hydrogen bonds mediate the characteristic L-shaped molecular structure. tRNAs have two regions of fundamental functional importance: the anti-codon, which is responsible for specific mRNA codon recognition, and the 3' end, to which the tRNAs corresponding amino acid is attached (by aminoacyl-tRNA synthetases). tRNAs cope with the degeneracy of the genetic code in two manners: having more than one tRNA (with a specific anti-codon) for a particular amino acid; and 'wobble' base-pairing, i.e. permitting non-standard base-pairing at the 3rd anti-codon position.
Source: Rfam